UACAGAGGGUGCAAGCGUUAAUCGGAAUUACUGGGCGUAAAGCGUGCGUAGACGGUUAUGUAAGUCGGGUGUGAAAGCCCCGGGCUCAACCUGGGAAUGCCAUUCGAGACUGCAUAGCUAGGGUGCGGAAGAGGGAAGCGGAAUUUUCGGUGUAGCGGUGAAAUGCGUAGAUAUCGGAAGGAACACCAGUGGCGAAGGCGGCAUCCUGGACCAACACUGACGCUGAGGAGCGAAAGCCAGGGGAGCAAACGGG
RNAcentral lists this ribosomal RNA (253 nucleotides) under uncultured bacterium. Its description in RNAcentral is "partial 16S ribosomal RNA". It matches the Rfam family "Bacterial small subunit ribosomal RNA", at positions 524 to 776 of the family's 1533-position model. The record is from RNAcentral.